GUUCCUGUUACCUAAUGGAUAAGGCGUUGGACUCCGGAUCCAAAGAUUGUGGGUUCAAGUCCCACCAGGAACA
This is a non-coding RNA of Trichonephila clavata, 73 nucleotides long. Lineage: Eukaryota; Metazoa; Arthropoda; Arachnida; Araneae; Nephilidae. The record is from the annotation of a GenBank genome assembly.